UGCCAGCAGCCGCGGUAAUACGUAGGGGGCAAGCGUUGUCCGGAUUUAUUGGGCGUAAAGAGCGUGUAGGCGGUUAGGUAGGUCCGUUGUGAAAACUCGAGGCUCAACCUCGAGACGCCGAUGGAAACCCCCUGACUAGAGUCCGGAAGAGGAGAGUGGAAUUCCUGGUGUAGCGGUGAAAUGCGCAGAUAUCAGGAAGAACACCCGUGGCUAAGGCGGCUCUCUAGUACGGUACUGACGCUGAGACGCGAAAGCGUGGGGAGCGAACAGGAUUAGAUACCCUGGUAGUCCACGCCGUAAACGAUGGGUGCUAGGUGUGGGAGGUGUCGACUCCUUCCGUGCCGAAGCUAACGCAUUAAGCACCCCGCCUGGGGAGUACGGCCGCAAGGCUAAAACUCAAAGGAAUUGAUCGGGGGCCCGCACAAG
This 426-nucleotide ribosomal RNA is filed under the name uncultured bacterium. RNAcentral describes it as "bacterial SSU rRNA". It matches the Rfam family "Bacterial small subunit ribosomal RNA", at positions 506 to 929 of the family's 1533-position model. The record is from RNAcentral.